UCGAGGAUAUUUAGCAAUGGGGGAAACCCUGACUAUGUGACGCCGCGUGAGGGAUGAAGGUUCUCGGAUCGUAAACCUCUUUCGAUGGGAAAGAAACCUCUGGUUAAUCGCCAGAGCUGACGGUACCCAGAGAAGAAGCCACGGCCAACUCCGUGCCAGCAGCCGCGGUAAUACGGGGGUGGCGAGCGUUACUCGGAUUUAUUGGGUGUAAAGGGCAGGUAGGUGGCUAUGCAAGUUGAGGGUGAAAUCCUUUGGCUCAACCAAAGAACUGCCUUCAAAACUGCAUAGCUUGAGGCCAGUAGAGGAGAGCGGAAUUCCCGGUGUAAGAGUGAAAUCUGUAGAUAUCGGGAGGAACACCAGUGGCGAAAGCGGCUCUCUAGCCUGGUCCUGACACUAAUCUGCGAAAGCUAGGGGAGCAAACAGG
This 424-nucleotide ribosomal RNA is filed under the name uncultured bacterium. Its description in RNAcentral is "bacterial SSU rRNA". It matches the Rfam family "Bacterial small subunit ribosomal RNA", at positions 355 to 776 of the family's 1533-position model. The record is from RNAcentral.